RNAcentral lists this ribosomal RNA (699 nucleotides) under uncultured bacterium. Its description in RNAcentral is "bacterial SSU rRNA". It matches the Rfam family "Bacterial small subunit ribosomal RNA", at positions 8 to 702 of the family's 1533-position model. The record is from RNAcentral.
AGAGUUUGAUCCUGGCUCAGGAUGAACGCUAGCGGGAGGCUUAAUACAUGCAAGUCGAGGGGUAACAUUAGAGCUUGCUCUAGAUGACGACCGGCGCACGGGUGAGUAACGCGUACACGACCUACCUUAGAGAAGGGAAUAGCCCUGGGAAACUGGGAGUAAUACCCUAUGGUAUUAAUUUAUUGCGAUAAUUUAAUUAAAGGUUUCGGCCGCUCUAAGAUGGGUGUGCGUCUCAUUAGCUAGUUGGUAAGGUAACGGCUUACCAAGGGGACGAUGGGUAGGGGGCGUGAGAGCGUGAUCCCCCACACGGGUACUGAGACACGGACCCGACUCCUACGGGAGGCAGCAGUAAGGAAUAUUGGACAAUGGGGGCAACCCUGAUCCAGCCAUCCUGCGUGUAGGAAGACGGCCCUAUGGGUUGUAAACUACUUUUGUAUGGGAAGAAUGUGUUCCAUUUAUGGAAUUUUGACGGUACCAUACGAAUAAGCACCGGCUAACUCCGUGCCAGCAGCCGCGGUAAUACGGAGGGUGCAAGCGUUAUCCGGAAUCACUGGGUUUAAAGGGUGCGUAGGCGGAUAGAUAAGUCAGAGGUGAAAGCUCACAGCUUAACUGUGGAAUUGCCUUUGAUACUGUUUAUCUUGAAUUAUGUUGAGGUUAGCGGAAUGUGACAUGUAGCGGUGAAAUGCAUAGAUAUGUCCU